AGCUCGUCGACUGUGAGCGUCGCAAGGUCCUUUGACUCUUCUAUCGCGCACACAAUACUCUCAAAAUUGUCUGUUAAUGUUCUCAAAAUCUUCUCCACAACUCGUGCAUCGGUUAGAGUUUCACCGUUUCGGUUGAGUUGAUUCACCACACCUGUACACGCGUGAUGUAGUCAGAUACACUUUCUGACUCCGUCAUCUUCAUGUUCUCCAACUCGCCACGCAGAGUUUGUAGACGCACUUGCUUAACUCGGUCAGCUCCUUUGAACACCUUCUCCAAUAUGUCCCAUGCUUCCUUUGAAGUGGACGCACCAGCAAUCUUCUCAAAAAUUGCCUCAUCAACAGCUCUAUACAACAUGUACAAAGCUGCCUUAUCUUUCGAUCGCAUCUCUUUCAAUGCCUUGGUUUGAGCUGCCGUAUAACCCGUGGUAUUGGUCGGUUCUUCAAAACCUUCUUCAACCACCUCCCAUGAAUCCUGAGAACCGAGAAGAGCUAUCAUUUGAAUGCUCUAGUUGUCAUAUCUGGUCGCCUU
This 529-nucleotide long non-coding RNA is filed under the name Phaseolus vulgaris (common bean). RNAcentral describes it as "long non-coding RNA (PVUL_LNC002145)". The record is from RNAcentral. Lineage: Eukaryota; Viridiplantae; Streptophyta; Magnoliopsida; Fabales; Fabaceae.